Molecule: ribosomal RNA, 402 nt
Filed under: uncultured bacterium
Lineage: Bacteria
Description: partial 16S ribosomal RNA
Rfam family: Bacterial small subunit ribosomal RNA
Source: RNAcentral
GACGAACGCUGGCGGCGUGCCUAAUACAUGCAAGUCGAACGCAGUGGGGACGGGUGAGUAACACGUGGGUAACCUCCCAUCAGAGGGGAUAACACUUGGAAACAGGUGCUAAACCGAUACUGAUGGAUGGACCCGCGGUGCAUUAGCUAGUUGGUGAGGUAACGGCUCACCAAGGCCACGAUGCAUAGCCGACAGAGGGGGGGGAUCGACAACACUGGAACGGAGAAACGGCCAAGAUCCCUAGGGGGGGCAGCAGUGGGGAAGCUUCGGCAAGGGACGAAAGUCGGACCGAGCAACGCCGGGUGAGUGAAGAAGGUUUUCGGAUCGUAAAACUCUGUGGUUAGAGAAGCGGUAUCUAACCAGAAAGCCACGGCUAACUACGUGCCAGCAGCCGCGGUAAUA